RNAcentral lists this transfer-messenger RNA (360 nucleotides) under bovine gut metagenome. It matches the Rfam family "transfer-messenger RNA". Rfam says of the family: Bacterial tmRNA, also known as 10Sa RNA or SsrA, is named for its dual tRNA and mRNA-like properties. Its role is to liberate the mRNA from a stalled ribosome. The record is from RNAcentral.
GGGGGUGAUUUGGUUUCGACGGGGCAUGUCGGGACUCGAUCGCGCGCCGAGGAUGUCGGUUGGCCUCGUAAAAAAACCGGCAAAAACCUAAAUGCGAACAAUGACUUCGCCAUGGCUGCCUAAUUGAGUUUAGGCACCCUCGCUUAACCGCCGACGCCUGCUGGGCGGGUAUGCGCUAACGCAGGACUUGCCGCAUAGCCCGGCGACCGGGCGAUGCGAGACUCGUACAAACCGGCCGCUGGACGAAGGGUCAGCCUGCCCGCGGGCCUUCCCUCCGUCGAGACUCAAACACGGGAUACGCGCGUAGAAGUCGGGUUGAAACUGUUUCGGACGCGGGUUCGACUCCCGCCACCUCCACCA